UCCCAGACUCCUACGGGAGGCAGCAGUCGGGAAUAUUGCACAAUGGAGGAAACUCUGAUGCAGUGACACCGCGUAUAGGAAGAAGGUUUUCGGAUUGUAAACUAUUUUAGACAGGGAAGAAAAAAGACAGUACCUGUAGAAUAAGCUCCGGCUAACUCCGUGCCAGCAGCCGCGGUAAUACGGAGGGUGCAAGCGUUACUCGGAAUCACUGGGCGUAAAGAGUGCGUAGGCGGGGUAAUAAGUCAGAUGUGAAAUCCUGUAGCUUAACUACAGAACUGCAUUUGAAACUGUUACUCUGGAGUGUGGGAGAGGUAGGUGGAAUUCUUGGUGUAGGGGUAAAAUCCGUAGAGAUCAAGAGGAAUACUCAUUGCGAAGGCGACCUGCUGGAACAUUACUGACGCUGAUGCACGAAAGCGUGGGGAGCAAACAGGAUUAGAUACCCGAGUAA
RNAcentral lists this ribosomal RNA (448 nucleotides) under uncultured bacterium. RNAcentral describes it as "bacterial SSU rRNA". It matches the Rfam family "Bacterial small subunit ribosomal RNA", at positions 329 to 793 of the family's 1533-position model. The record is from RNAcentral.